CGUGUCAUUAUUACAGUAGACCCUUGAACGACACGGAGAUUGGAAAUAUUGACUAAUUGUGUGAUUAAUAUUUAUGCAAAUUCAUAUUUUCACGAGUGUGUUUAAAUAAAUGGAAAACGAUAAACCAGUGCCAUUUGCGAAGUUACAUUUUUAUGAAUUUCUUCGGAUAACCGCUUAUCUUAGAACUCGAGUCUUUUAUCAUUUAUUGUACACAAGCACAACAUCGUUUGUACGAAAUCGAUUCGUUUAUUUUGAGGGAGCUCUAACUUACGACAAAUGAAUAAUAAAAAUAAUACCAAAUGAAGAAAGCUGGGGACACUUUGAGAAAACUUAUUUCAGAAAAUUCUUAUUUUAGCUUUACGAAUCAAUCCUCAAAUUUUCUUAUACCUGUAGCCGAACACCUUGCACACGAAGAAUGCUUCAUACUCCAUAAAAAUAGGAAUGCAAAAGCAUUCCUGUUACAAAAAUAAUAUUUGUUCUGUGUUUUGUAAUAUAAAUGAAUUUAUAGAUAAAUUUAAAUAAACUGUAAAACAUAAUAAUUUGGUGCCAUUAUUUCACAUCUUAUC
Molecule: unclassified non-coding RNA, 566 nt
Filed under: Bombus terrestris (buff-tailed bumblebee)
Lineage: Eukaryota; Metazoa; Arthropoda; Insecta; Hymenoptera; Apidae
Description: misc RNA ENSBTSG00005035514.1
Source: RNAcentral